CUGAGGAAGCCGAGAACUCGCCACUAGGAUUAUUAAGCAUUGCGGAAGGUUGGGGUCCUGCAGAUGAAAGCAAUGAAACGAGAAUGACCCCUGUGUAGGGGACCCUCUAGGGGGAAACUGGAAGCAAGAGGGGCCACGGGUGUGAAGCCAGGAGGGACGCCGCUGCCCCUGGAGGAAGCAGGGUGACAUCCUGUCUACUUGAAAAGAAAACUGAAAGUCCUGUCCUUCACGAGAAACUAUUGUGUUUUCCUAACCCACAGGUAUGCCAGAGUUUCUCUGGUCCAGAGUUGUGGGUGACAUAGGGGGAGCUGGGGGAGGGGCAGACAGGGGGGUGUGAAGGGAGUUUGGAUGGUUCCAUGGUCUGUGCUCUUUGUCUAAUUCAGGGAAGGUAGCAGCCUGCUGGAGCCCACCCCAAGGAUCCCUGUGCUAUAUGAUACAUGUCCUGGUGAGAGGUACCUCUUUUCUGGCUGUUAAAGUGCAUUCCUGUGUAGAUGUGGAAAGAGAGAAAGCACGCUAGAGCCAGAGCUAGGAUCGGAAUGUGAGCAUUUCCUUAAUUGGACACGAGUGCCUUGAACUGGCUCCAGUUUUAGUGUUUUCUUUCAAGAGCCUGGACCCUAAAGAUUCCAUAGAGUUUUCUUUCUCUAAAAAUCCCCUUGGUUCGAAGGCCCCUUGAUAGAAAUAAAGAAAAUGCCAGGGCCGAAUCUCUUUGAUAU
Molecule: long non-coding RNA, 713 nt
Filed under: Felis catus (domestic cat)
Lineage: Eukaryota; Metazoa; Chordata; Mammalia; Carnivora; Felidae
Description: lncRNA (ENSFCAG00000048977.1)
Source: RNAcentral